UCAUUAAGUUGGGCACUCUAGGUUGACUGCCGGUGACAAACCGGAGGAAAGUGGGGAUGACGUCAAAUCAUCAUGCCCCUUAUGAUUUGGGCUACACACGUGCUACAAUGGACAAUACAAAGGGCAGCUAAACCGCGAGGUCAUGCAAAUCCCAUAAAGUUGUUCUCAGUUCGGAUUGUAGUCUGCAACUCGACUACAUGAAGCUGGAAUCGCUAGUAAUCGUAGAUCAGCAUGCUACGGUGAAUACGUUCCCGGGUCUUGUACACACCGCCCGUCACACCACGAGAGUUUGUAACACCCGAAGCCGGUGGAGUAACCAUUUAUGGAGCUAGCCGUCGAAGGUGGGACAAAUGAUUGGGGUGAAGUCGUAACAAGGUAGCC
This 381-nucleotide ribosomal RNA is filed under the name uncultured bacterium. RNAcentral describes it as "bacterial SSU rRNA". It matches the Rfam family "Bacterial small subunit ribosomal RNA", at positions 1121 to 1501 of the family's 1533-position model. The record is from RNAcentral.